UGGUGUUAAGAGUCAGGCGAACUUGAUUUCACAUGUCAGGCUUACGGGCACCCGGGUGGCUCCAGUGGCUCAGAUGUAUGGCUCUUCGCCCGCGGGUGGGUGAUUUGGGGCAAGUAAUUUGGAUUUUCCAAGGCUCCACCUUCCCCUGUGUGCAGUGGGGGAAGAAGGGGUCACGUUCACUGGGUCAUUCUGAGGGCUGAGGGGGAGGUCAUUUCCAUCAAGUGGCCGACCCGGCACCUGGCCCGAGGUAGAAAAUCUGUCCUCAUAGCCUCAGAGCAGCGGGGCUGACACGCUCUGCCCGGAAUAUGCCAGAUCCUGCAGGAGCCUGCAUCUGUGCCCUGGGCCUGGGUGAGGAGCUCUUGCUUCCCUAAAUGGCCCCCAGGACGUCGCCUUCUCUCAUCAAGAAUGUGUGCCGAGGGUCGCAACGGAGAAGAGCUCUGGGAAUGGCUUCCCUUUCUAUCGUGAUGUCUUCUCUGCUCCAGGGCACAGCAGCAGACAGACCGGAUGGUGUCUUCUCCCCUCCUCAGGCUCCCCAGUGAUAUACCCUCUGAGUCUGAGCUGCAAGCCUCUCUCUGCCCCUUUGGGGACACUAGGAAUCCAUGGCAGGAGACUUCUGUGCUCGGAUACCCGAUGCUGUCCCUUUCUCGUGCCACAGCACGUCUGUCCACCAACCUCUCAGACUCUGCCCACACCCUCUGUCCUGUCUGGGACCCCCUACCCCACCCCUGGGCCACCCACAGCCUCUCCUUAGUCUCUGCUUCCCGGCCCAGCCCCUGGAGUCAGAGCAUCUAUUGACCACUCUGCUGAGUUCUGGACACCAGCCUUGUUUCUGGAGUCUUCCUCCCCCUUAAUUCCUCAUUUUCCUCAUUCUAAAGCCUGGCGCCCCCUCGGCCCCUUCUCCGUCUCCAUCCUGAGUUUCCAAAGCACAGCCCUUACCUGAACCCACAUCCUAGUUCUUCAGAAUGUACUGAUUAAACAAACUGUUGC
Molecule: long non-coding RNA, 987 nt
Organism: Mustela erminea (ermine)
Lineage: Eukaryota; Metazoa; Chordata; Mammalia; Carnivora; Mustelidae
Exons: 3
Source: RefSeq, a predicted model, not a curated record